AGGGUAGUGCCUAUAUAUAGAGAAUGUCUCUAAGAUUUCUAAGUGAUAGAAGAAUUUUUGAUGAGACAAAAUGAUCUCUCUCUCCCUUCUCCAUGCCUCCCAUCCUCCCUCUAUUCUCUUCCAUGCCCAAGGGUUGGGCAUCCCACUUUCCACAUGCCAAAAGUCUGAGGUGAUUUUUCUUCAAAAGUGAAGACUGAGGAGAAGAAGAAGAAGGCUGC
This 218-nucleotide long non-coding RNA is filed under the name Elaeis guineensis (African oil palm). Its description in RNAcentral is "long non-coding RNA (EGUI_LNC063385)". The record is from RNAcentral. Lineage: Eukaryota; Viridiplantae; Streptophyta; Magnoliopsida; Arecales; Arecaceae.